GAGACCGUUCCCAUUGCUUAGCAACGUGGACGCCAUGUGCUGAACCGUAUGUGCGCACAGGACUUCAAUCGAGGAGCAGAGGGAUCUUACAACAAAAUUUAGCUAAAACAGUAUCUAAAAACUUGAGUGAUGGAGAUGAUGUCUUGACAAGACUCCAUCGAAGGCAGUGGAGGACUAUCUGGAGUACAGAAUGUUUUGACAAAUACAAUUUAUUCUAGGAUUAUAUUCAUCCUGGAUUACUGCUGGAAUUUCCCUCUGAGUCACCUCGCUGACUUUGUAAACCUAUUUGCUUUGUUAUGUUUGCCUUCAGUUCAGACAACUUAGACAACUUACAUCCCUUGUAUGUAAAAUUUCACCAAGUCCAUUUUGUUUGGAGUCAGUGUAUUUUACAGCCUUCCUCCCUCCAUUCCUUGUUUCCUUCCCUUUAUCAGCAGAUCAAUCUAAUUGGACUACAUAGGUGAAUAAUUAUGAAGUUGAGAUCAUGAGCUUUGGAGAGUGAAUCACAGGAGGUUGGUGUCACAUUAAUUGGGGAGAACGGGCCCAUGGUAAUGACUGGAGCUGAAUCAGUGGAAUAGAAUACUGAUGCCAAAGUACUAUCCUAUAUGGUGGACUAUUAGACAUUCACACCAGAGGAGGCUGCUGAGGGAAGAACGGCUCAUAAAUGGCCAUUCGCAUGAGCCACUCUCCCCUCAGCAGCCUCCUGUGGUGUGAAUGUCCAAUAGUCUACCAUAUUUUUACUUUUACCUUUAUUUAACUAGGCAAGUCAGUUAAGAACAAAUUCUUAUUUUCAAUGACGGCCUAGGAACAGUGGGUUAAUAACUGCCUUGUUCAGGGGCAGAACGACAGAUUUUUAUCUUGUCAGCUCGGGUAUUCAAUCUUGCAGCCUUUCGGUUACCAGUCCAACGCUCUAACCACUAGGCUACCUAUUGGAUAUAUUGGAUACUCCUUUUGUAUCAGCAUUUUAUUUGAGGAGGAAAGGCAUACUUUGCAGAAUCUGGGUACUCAAUGAUCAGAACUAGUAAUCACACCCCAGUGCUGUGGCAGCUGUUGUUGUGUUUUAGGAUUGUGGGUGAAGAUGAUGGCGGCAGACUAUAUUCUCCCCCAGAGGAACAGAGGAACAGUGUUUCCCCAGCAACUUCACAGCAGGCUGUAUGUGAGCUUCAAAAAGCCAGGGAGAAUAGACUGUAAACUCAUCGGCCCAGAGACACCUUGCUUCUGCACACACAGGCACUUCCUGCUCUGGGUUCCGGAGCCCCUACACCUGUGGGUGUGGCCAUCUUAGCUCCGCCCACCAGACACUGGUGAAGACUAGGGUGGAACGGGAGGCCCGGGUCGGCAAUGAGUUUGUAUACGCAGCCAUGGGGGUAUAAUGGGGUUCAGCUCCCUGGCUGACAGUUACACUGGAUGACAGCGGGGCAGGUGAGACCUCCAGGCAGCAUCACAGACUCACUGACAAGAGACAGGCGCACAAUGAAUUACAGCAUAGACAUCUCAGUCUAUCUAGGAGUCUAAUCUCAGCCUUAGAUACAGUAUAUGAGAUGUCUAAUUGUUACUUUUGACUAACUAUGUGUGUGUGUGCGUCUGUGUGAGUGUGUGUCUGUGUGCGUGUGUGUCUGUAUGCGUGUGUGCCCCACUUCUUUCUGUCCUGUUGUCUCAACAUCCCGGAGCCUUCCAGGAGCAUGUGUAUGAGAAAGCCUGUGGACCUACAGUACAGACAGAGCUCUCUCUGCCGUGAGGACCAGAGAGGAGGAACACAUGGCCUACUUCGAGAGACGCUACCAGGAGAGGGAGAGGAGUGCAUUCUCUAAUGAAACACUGGAGUGCAGCAGAGAACUGUAGAACGCAGCUGUAAAGAUGGAAAAGAAGUGUAGACCAGAGUAGAGAUAAAAGGAAGCAGAGAGAAUGAGAGAAUGCCAAGAGUGUGCAAAGCUGUCAUCAAAGCAAAAGAGUGGCUAUUUUGAAGAAUCUCAAAUAUGAAAUAUAUUUUGAUUUGUUUAACACUUUUUUGGUUACUACAUGAUUUCAUAUGUGUUAUCUCAUAGUUUUGAUGUCUUCACUAUUAUUCUACAAUGUAAAAAAAUAGUAAAAAUAAAG
Molecule: long non-coding RNA, 2094 nt
Organism: Salvelinus fontinalis (brook trout)
Lineage: Eukaryota; Metazoa; Chordata; Actinopteri; Salmoniformes; Salmonidae
Exons: 3
Source: RefSeq, a predicted model, not a curated record